RNAcentral lists this ribosomal RNA (240 nucleotides) under uncultured bacterium. Its description in RNAcentral is "partial 16S ribosomal RNA". It matches the Rfam family "Bacterial small subunit ribosomal RNA", at positions 15 to 248 of the family's 1533-position model. The record is from RNAcentral.
GAUAUGGUUCAGGAUGAACGCUAGCUACAGGCUUAACACAUGCAAGUCGAGGGGCAGCAUGAACUUAGCUUGCUAAGUUUGAUGGCGACCGGCGCACGGGUGAGUAACACGUAUCCAACCUGCCGAUGACUCGGGGAUAGCCUUUCGAAAGAAAGAUUAAUACCCGAUGGCAUAGUUCUUCCGCAUGGUAGAACUAUUAAAGAAUUUCGGUCAUCGAUGGGGAUGCGUUCCAUUAGGUUG